RNAcentral lists this ribosomal RNA (251 nucleotides) under uncultured bacterium. RNAcentral describes it as "partial 16S ribosomal RNA". It matches the Rfam family "Bacterial small subunit ribosomal RNA", at positions 525 to 775 of the family's 1533-position model. The record is from RNAcentral.
ACGUAGGGGGCGAGCGUUAUCCGGAUUCAUUGGGCGUAAAGCGCGCGUAGGCGGCCCGGCAGGCCGGGGGUCGAAGCGGGGGGCUCAACCCCCCGAAGCCCCCGGAACCUCCGCGGCUUGGGUCCGGUAGGGGAGGGUGGAACACCCGGUGUAGCGGUGGAAUGCGCAGACAUCGCGUGGAACACCGGUGGCGAAGGCGGCCCUCUCGGCCGCGACCGACGCUGAGGCGCGAAAGCUGGGGGAGCGAACAG